UACGUAGGGGGCUAGCGUUGUCCGGAAUCAUUGGGCGUAAAGAGCGUGUAGGCGGUCCGGCAAGUCCGCUGUGAAAGUCGGGGGCUCAACCCUCGAAUGCCGGUGGAUACUGUCGGGCUAGAGUGCGGAAGAGGCGAGUGGAAUUCCUGGUGUAGCGGUGAAAUGCGCAGAUAUCAGGAGGAACACCUAUUGCGAAGGCAGCUCGCUGGGACGUAACUGACGCUGAGACGCGAAAGCGUGGGGAGCAAACAGG
Molecule: ribosomal RNA, 253 nt
Filed under: uncultured bacterium
Lineage: Bacteria
Description: partial 16S ribosomal RNA
Rfam family: Bacterial small subunit ribosomal RNA
Source: RNAcentral